UACAUGGGGUGCAAACGUUGCUCGGAAUUAUUGGGCGUAAAGCGCACGUAGGCGGUUCGUUAAGUCGGAUGUGAAAGCCCUCGGCUCAACUGAGGAAGUGCACCCGAAACUGGCGAGCUUGAGUACGAAAGAGGAUCGCGGAAUUCCCGGUGUAGAGGUGAAAUUCGUAGAUAUCGGGAGGAACACCGGUGGCGAAGGCGGCGAUCUGGGUCGAUACUGACGCUGAGGAGCGAAAGCGUGGGUAGCAAACAGG
RNAcentral lists this ribosomal RNA (253 nucleotides) under uncultured bacterium. RNAcentral describes it as "partial 16S ribosomal RNA". It matches the Rfam family "Bacterial small subunit ribosomal RNA", at positions 524 to 776 of the family's 1533-position model. The record is from RNAcentral.